AGUGAACGCUGGCGGUAGGCCUAACACAUGCAAGUCGAACGGCAGCACAGUAAGAGCUUGCUCUUACGGGUGGCGAGUGGCGGACGGGUGAGGAAUACAUCGGAAUCUACUUUUUCGUGGGGGAUAACGUAGGGAAACUUAUGCUAAUACCGCAUACGACCUACGGGUGAAAGCAGGGGAUCUUCGGACCUUGCGCGAUUGAAUGAGCCGAUGUCGGAUUAGCUAGUUGGCGGGGUAAAGGCCCACCAAGGCGACGAUCCGUAGCUGGUCUGAGAGGAUGGUCAGCCACACUGGAACUGAGACACGGUCCAGACUCCUACGGGAGGCAGCAGUGGGGAAUAUUAGACAAUGGGCGCAAGCCUGAUCCAGCCAUACCGCGUGGGUGAAGAAGGCCUUCGGGUUGUAAAGCCCUUUUGUUGGGAAAGAAAAGCAGCAGGUUAAUACCCCGCUGUUCUGACGGUACCCAAAGAAUAAGCACCGGCUAACUUCGUG
Molecule: ribosomal RNA, 492 nt
Filed under: uncultured bacterium
Lineage: Bacteria
Description: partial 16S ribosomal RNA
Rfam family: Bacterial small subunit ribosomal RNA
Source: RNAcentral